GACGAACGCUGGCGGCGUGCUUAACACAUGCAAGUCGAACGGAAAGGCCCUGCUUUUGUGGGGUGCUCGAGUGGCGAACGGGUGAGUAACACGUGUGUAACCUGCCCUUGACUUUGGGAUAACUUCAGGAAACUGGGGCUAAUACCGGAUAGGAGCUCCUGCUGCAUGGUGGGGGUUGGAAAGUUUCGGCGGUUGGGGAUGGACUCGCGGCUUAUCAGCUUGUUGGUGGGGUAGUGGCUUACCAAGGCUUUGACGGGUAGCCGGCCUGAGAGGGUGACCGGCCACAAUGGGACUGAGAUACGGCGCAGAAUCCUACGGGAGGCAGCAGUGGGGAAUAUUGCACAAUGGGCGGAAGCCUGAUGCAGCAACGCCGCGUGCGGGAUGACGGCCUUCGGGUUGUGAACCGCUUUCGCCUGUGACGAAGCGUGAGUGACGGUACUGGGUAAAGAAGCACCGGCUAACUACGUG
RNAcentral lists this ribosomal RNA (468 nucleotides) under uncultured bacterium. RNAcentral's name for it is "partial 16S ribosomal RNA". It matches the Rfam family "Bacterial small subunit ribosomal RNA", at positions 28 to 507 of the family's 1533-position model. The record is from RNAcentral.